UAGGGAAUAUUGCAAAAUGGGCGAAAGCCCGAUGCAGCAACGCCGCGUGGGCGAUGAAGGCCUUCGGGUCGUAAAGCCCUUUUUGAGGGGAUGAGGAAGGACAGUACCCUCAGAAUAAGCCUCGGCUAACUACGUGCCAGCAGCCGCGGUAAAACGUAGGAGGCGAGCGUUAUCCGGAUUUACUGGGCGUAAAGCGCGUGCAGGCGGAUUGGAGAGUUGGAUGUGAAAGCUCCCGGCUUAACUGGGAGAGGUCGUUCAAUACUUCCAGGCUUGAGUGCAGUAGAGGGCAGUGGAAUUCCUGGUGUAGUGGUGAAAUGCGUAGAUAUCCGGAGGAACACCAGUGGCGAAAGCGGCUUCCUGGACUGUAACUGACGCUCAGACGCGAAAGCUAGGGUAGCAAACG
RNAcentral lists this ribosomal RNA (403 nucleotides) under uncultured bacterium. RNAcentral's name for it is "bacterial SSU rRNA". It matches the Rfam family "Bacterial small subunit ribosomal RNA", at positions 355 to 774 of the family's 1533-position model. The record is from RNAcentral.